UAGGCGGACGCUUGUUGGCUUGAGCGCUUAGCUGUUAACUAAGAUUUUGUGGGAUCGAGACCCUCCCGUCUAG
This 73-nucleotide transfer RNA is filed under the name Salmostoma bacalia (large razorbelly minnow). Its description in RNAcentral is "tRNA-Asn". The record is from RNAcentral. Lineage: Eukaryota; Metazoa; Chordata; Actinopteri; Cypriniformes; Danionidae.